Molecule: long non-coding RNA, 1235 nt
Filed under: Homo sapiens (human)
Lineage: Eukaryota; Metazoa; Chordata; Mammalia; Primates; Hominidae
Description: HSALNT0068272
Source: RNAcentral
AUUUAUUUUAUUGAAUUUUCACAACCACCUCGAGGUGCUGUGAAAUUUUUCCCUGACUUUAAAGAUGAAGAAACAGGUCCAGAGAGAGGCACAGUGACUUGCACCUUGACAUGCAGCCAGAAAGCAGUGGAGCCAGGAUUCCAGCCAGGUCUGUCUGACCAGCAGCACCGCUCCGGCUACUGCUGGCUGUGCAGUUAGUCCACGAGGAUCUAGGGCUCCUCGGGAAGCCCAUGGGAAGCCUCGCCUUGGUCUAGGAUGGAUGGCACAGGUGAGCCAGGGAAGGUAUCUGACAGGCACCACAACCUGAGCAUGUGUAGAUGGACGCUGGUUUCUUCUGCUCUCUGCCUCAUCUCAGGUCCGGCCCUGCCACCUGUCCAGGGGCUUAGCCCAGAACCCCAGAAUCUGCUUUGAUGCCCCCGGGUCUGCAGGCAGACUUUGCUCUCGAAGGCACCUGAGUCUCACCUCCUUGGCCGUCAGCUUGGCACAAGUUACCCUGGCUGCUCCCCAGACUGUUCCCAUGGCCUGGCCCUGGCCGGGGACUCCCACUCUGCUUGCGGUCCUGAAGACAGCCAGAGAGGCCUUUGAGAGUGGAAGGCAGACACCAUAUGCCACCGCCCCCAGCUGACACUCAUAGGGGCUGCCCCUCAUGCUCUGGAUAAAACUCCGACUGGCUACUGUGCCUCUUUGGGUCUCCCCGGCCCAGGCCUGGCCAGGGGUUCCAGCCUUCACCAGGGGAAGGAGCAUCUGUGAGUCCAGGGAGUGUGCCUGGCCCAAUGCCUCUGCCCAGGGCCUUUGUGCCUGCCGUCCCCUCCCCAAUUCCACGCCUCCUGUUGCCCUCCGCAGAGGCACCUCUCCCGUGACCUCCAAGCACACCACCCACUAAAUCUCCGCCCUUCCUCUGCCUGCCUGCCCUCCCAGCACAGCCACUCUGUCCGCUCAGGCUCCUGAGCUGCUUACUUGUUCACCUGUCUUCUGCUGGAGACCAGGGAGCCCUCCCCUCGCUGGCUGUGGGGUCUGGGAACAAAGCAGUCUUAAUAAAUACUUCUCGAAAGAAUGGAGUAUGUGGUUGAAUAAAUAAGUCCCAGACAGGAGUUCCUUCUAAAAUGGUCUAGUUCAGGCUUCUCAGUUGCAGGUGGGGAAACUGAGGCCCUGAGCGGGCGGAGGUGGAGGGAAGUUGAGUGGCCCUGCCUGCAUCUCCCACCAGCGCUACCUCGCAUCCUCCUACAGCAUGCGAG